This 1659-nucleotide long non-coding RNA is filed under the name Sus scrofa (pig). RNAcentral's name for it is "lncRNA (ENSSSCG00030058455.1)". The record is from RNAcentral. Lineage: Eukaryota; Metazoa; Chordata; Mammalia; Artiodactyla; Suidae.
GAUCCCUUAGGUCAGUAGGUCCAGCGGGGGUCGCAGUUCCAGUAACCAAUCGCCGCGCGGCCGCGGGGCCAAGGGGCCGCGGGGCCGCGGGGUGGAGCCUCAGAGCCCCGCCCCUCCUCCCCACCUACCCAGGUCCGGCCUCCCUCGCACCUGCGCGUCCCCCGGCUCUCGGGCUGGUGUAACAUCUUCCAGCCGGUGCUGGCGGGGAAGGGGCUUGGCCUCGUCUCUCGCGAGAUCGCCUCCAGUGGCCGCCACCGCCGUUCCUGGCUGCUGACUGGCGGCGUCUGCGCAGCCGCCAUGUUCGGUUGCUAUGCUGUGGCCUGGGAGACGGGGUGUGCUUGAGGGAGGAGGAGGAGACGGAGGAGGAGGAGGAGGAAGAGGAGGAGGAGGCGGAGGAGGCGGGAGGGACUGAGCUCCCAUUGCACUCUCACACACAAACGCUGCCCGGGAUUGCCUGCCCGCUCGCGCAGCGCCGCACGCAGUUCCGCUCCUCUCGGCCCCCACAUUGUUCGCUCAGGACUCCAGGGUCCCCAGGGGCCGGAUUCCGGGCCCCGCUCCGGGGCUCCCCUCCCCCACGGCAGUGUGGCGGGGUCGGAUUAGCUCAUCCCCGCAGGGAGGUGGGAGAGCGCGCGGCCGCCCCGCAGUAUGAGGUGGUGCCGGCGGCUCGGGGCCGUGGCGCGGCCGCUGCGGCGCCGGCUGCUGGGGGGGCGCUGAGGGAGCCCUGGGGGCGGCGCAGCCGGGCCUCCGGGCUUUUCUUCUCCAGCCGGGAGGACGCGGCUGGGAUACGAAGACCUUGUGUGGACAGUAAUGACCUCACGUUUCCGAUUGCCUGCUGGCAGAACCUACAAUGUACGAGCAUCAGAGUUGGCCCGAGACAGACAGCAUACAGAGGUGGUUUGCAACAUCCUUCUUCUGGAUAAUACUGUACAAGCUUUCAAAGUUAAUGUAAGUAAUUUAUGUGUUUUUAAAUUUUAAUUGUCUGGUUAUAAGUCUGAAAUUAGAUUAAAUUUUAAAACUGAAAUUGUUUAAUUGCAGAACAAUUUGAAAAGCCUUAUUCAAUGAAAAAAGUCUUGUUAGUUUGGGUUUGUAACUGCCAAAUACAUGUUCCAAUUCAAACUGGGUCUUUUUAAGAGGUUCCCAAUCCAGCAGUUCAAUUUUAAUAGAGCAGAUCAAUAGUAUGUGGGCAGUUUUUAGAAAUGUACUUGAGGGUGCUUCAAAGGAAUUUUUCUCAUAAAUAAUUUAUACACUUCAUUGUGAUCUUAUUGUACUGUCUAUGAAGAAGAGUUUUGCUAAACAAAGUAGCCCUGAUCUUACCUGAAUUUUAUCUGAAAUAUUAUUCAACAAAUAUUUAUUCAUUCUAUUUGUGUCUAGCUUCAUUUGUUCAACAUUUUUUUUUGACUUUCACCAUGUGGUAUGUUAACAAUAAUUGGUUCAUUUUUGUUGCUGUAUAGUACUCUCCUGUGUGACUAUAUAUACUACAGCUUAAUUAUCCAUUUAUUUAUCACCAUUUAUUUGUCUAGUUUAUUGUUUGUGUAUAUUUGUGUUUUUUACACUUUAGGCUCUUAUCAGUAAUGUUGCUGUGAACAUUGUUAUACAUGCCUUGGUAUAUAGAAGGGCAUUCCUCUUUUUUAUUUAAAAAAUUUCAAACCUACCAAAAAA